GGGAAUUUUCCGCAAUGGGCGAAAGCCUGACGGAGCAAUACCGCGUGAGGGAAGAAGGUCUGUGGAUUGUAAACCUCUUUUGUUAGGGAAGAUAAUGACGGUACCUAACGAAUAAGCAUCGGCUAACUCCGUGCCAGCAGCCGCGGUAAGACGGAGGAUGCAAGCGUUAUCCGGAAUUAUUGGGCGUAAAGCGUACGUAGGCGGUUUUAUAAGUCUGUUGUCAAAGCCCGAGGCUUAACCUUGGAAAGGCAAUGGAAACUGUAAGACUAGAGAGAGAUAGGGGCAGGAGGAAUUCCAGGUGUAGCGGUGAAAUGCGUAGAUAUCUGGAAGAACACCAGUGGCGAAAGCGUCCUGCUGGAUCUCAACUGACGCUGAAGUACGAAAGCUAGGGGAGCGAAUGGGAUUAGAUACCCCAGUAGUC
Molecule: ribosomal RNA, 421 nt
Filed under: uncultured cyanobacterium
Lineage: Bacteria; Bacillati; Cyanobacteriota
Description: bacterial SSU rRNA
Rfam family: Bacterial small subunit ribosomal RNA
Source: RNAcentral